RNAcentral lists this ribosomal RNA (632 nucleotides) under Salmonella enterica. RNAcentral's name for it is "partial 23S ribosomal RNA". It matches the Rfam family "Bacterial large subunit ribosomal RNA", at positions 568 to 1190 of the family's 2925-position model. The record is from RNAcentral. Lineage: Bacteria; Pseudomonadati; Pseudomonadota; Gammaproteobacteria; Enterobacterales; Enterobacteriaceae.
CAACCGCAAAAGAAGCAGAGGGGGCUUAGUGGUGGGGUGACUGCGUACCUUUUGUAUAAUGGGUCAGCGACUUAUAUUCUGUAGCAAGGUUAACCGAAUAGGGGAGCCGGAGGGAAACCGAGUCUUAAUUGGGCGUUAAGUUGCAGGGUAUAGACCCGAAACCCGGUGAUCUAGCCAUGGGCAGGUUGAAGGUUGGGUAACACUAACUGGAGGACCGAACCGACUAAUGUUGAAAAAUUAGCGGAUGACCUGUGGCUGGGGGUGAAAGGCCAAUCAAACCGGGAGAUAGCUGGUUCUCCCCGAAAGCUAUUUAGGUAGCGCCUCGUGAAUUCAUCUCCGGGGGUAGAGCACUGUUUCGGCUAGGGGGCCAUCCCGGCUUACCAACCCGAUGCAAACUGCGAAUACCGGAGAAUGUUAUCACGGGAGACACACGGCGGGUGCUAACGUCCGUCGUGAAGAGGGAAACAACCCAGACCGCCAGCUAAGGUCCCAAAGUCAUGGUUAAGUGGGAAACGAUGUGGGAAGGCCCAGACAGCCAGGAUGUUGGCUUAGAAGCAGCCAUCAUUUAAAGAAAGCGUAAUAGCUCACUGGUCGAGUCGGCCUGCGCGGAAGAUGUAACGGGGCUAAACCAU